Molecule: ribosomal RNA, 460 nt
Filed under: uncultured bacterium
Lineage: Bacteria
Description: partial 16S ribosomal RNA
Rfam family: Bacterial small subunit ribosomal RNA
Source: RNAcentral
CCUACGGGAGGCAGCAGUGAGGAAUAUUGGUCAAUGGGCGCUAGCCUGAACCAGCCAAGUAGCGUGAAGGAUGAAUGCCCUAUGGGUUGUAAACUUCUUUUAUAUGGGAAUAAAGUGCAGUAUGUAUACUGCGUUGCAUGUACCUUAUGAAUAAGGAUCGGCUAACUCCGUGCCAGCAGCCGCGGUAAUACGGAGGAUCCGAGCGUUAUCCGGAUUUAUUGGGUUUAAAGGGAGCGUAGGCGGGUUGUUAAGUCAGUUGUGAAAGUUUGGGGCUCAACCGUAAAAUUGCAGUUGAUACUGGCAGCCUUGAGUACAGUAGAGGUAGGCGGAAUUCGUGGUGUAGCGGUGAAAUGCUUAGAUAUCACGAAGAACUCCGAUUGCGAAGGCAGCCUGCUGGACUGUAACUGACGCUGAUGCUCGAAAGUGUGGGUAUCAAACAGGAUUAGAUACCCCUGUAGUC